GUGGGGAAUUUUGGACAAUGGGCGCAAGCCUGAUCCAGCGAUGCCGCGUGCAGGAAGAAGGCCUUCGGGUUGUAAACUGCUUUUGUACGGAACGAAACGGUCCGGGUUAAUACCCUGGGCUAAUGACGGUACCGUAAGAAUAAGCACCGGCUAACUACGUGCCAGCAGCCGCGGUAAUACGUAGGGUGCAAGCGUUAAUCGGAAUUACUGGGCGUAAAGCGUGCGCAGGCGGUUUUGUAAGACAGGCGUGAAAUCCCCGGGCUCAACCUGGGAAUUGCGCUUGUGACUGCAGUGCUGGAGUGCGGCAGAGGGGGAUGGAAUUCCGCGUGUAGCAGUGAAAUGCGUAGAUAUGCGGAGGAACACCGAUGGCGAAGGCAAUCCCCUGGGCCUGCACUGACGCUCAUGCACGAAAGCGUGGGGAGCAAACAGGAUUAGAUACCCCAGUAGUCC
Molecule: ribosomal RNA, 450 nt
Filed under: uncultured bacterium
Lineage: Bacteria
Description: partial 16S ribosomal RNA
Rfam family: Bacterial small subunit ribosomal RNA
Source: RNAcentral